RNAcentral lists this ribosomal RNA (1398 nucleotides) under uncultured bacterium. RNAcentral's name for it is "bacterial SSU rRNA". It matches the Rfam family "Bacterial small subunit ribosomal RNA". The record is from RNAcentral.
UGGCUCAGGAUGAACGCUGGCGGCGUGCCUAAUACAUGCAAGUCGAACGCACAGCGAAAGGUGCUUGCACCUUUCAAGUGAGUGGCGAACGGGUGAGUAACACGUGGAUAACCUACCUCAAGGUUGGGGAUAACAUUUGGAAACAGAUGCUAAUACCGAAUAAAACUUCGUAUCGCAUGAUACAAGGUUAAAAGGCGCUACGGCGUCACCUAGAGAUGGAUCCGCGGUGCAUUAGUUAGUUGGUGGGGUAAAGGCCUACCAAGACAAUGAUGCAUAGCCGAGUUGAGAGACUGAUCGGCCACAUUGGGACUGAGACACGGCCCAAACUCCUACGGGAGGCUGCAGUAGGGAAUCUUCCACAAUGGGCGAAAGCCUGAUGGAGCAACGCCGCGUGUGUGAUGAAGGCUUUCGGGUCGUAAAGCACUGUUGUAUGGGAAGAACAGCUAGAGUAGGGAAUGACUUUAGUUUGACGGUACCAUACCAGAAAGGGACGGCUAAAUACGUGCCAGCAGCCGCGGUAAUACGUAUGUCCCGAGCGUUAUCCGUAUUUAUUGGGCGUAGAGCGAGCGCAGACGGUUGAUUAAGUCUGAUGUGAAAGCCCGGAGCUCAACUCCGGAAAGGCAUUGGAAACUGGUCAACUUGAGUGCAGUAGAGGUAAGUGGAACUCCAUGUGUAGCGGUGGAAUGCGUAGAUAUAUGGAAGAACACCAGCGGCGAAGGCGGCUUACUGGACUGUAACUGACGUUGAGGCUCGAAAGUGUGGGUAGCAAACAGGAUUAGAUACCCUGGUAGUCCACACCGUAAACGAUGAACACUAGGUGUUAGGAGGUUUCCGCCUCUUAGUGCCGAAGCUAACGCAUUAAGUGUUCCGCCUGGGGAGUACGACCGCAAGGUUGAAAACUCAAAGGAAUUGACGGGGACCCGCACAAGCGGUGGAGCAUGUGGUUUAAUUCGAAGCAACGCGAAGAACCUUACCAGGUCUUGACAUCCUUUGAAGCUUUUAGAGAUAGAAGUGUUCUCUUCGGAGACAAAGUGACAGGUGGUGCAUGGUCGUCGUCAGCUCGUGUCGUGAGAUGUUGGGUUAAGUCCCGCAACGAGCGCAACCCUUAUUGUUAGUUGCCAGCAUUCAGAUGGGCACUCUAGCGAGACUGCCGGUGACAAACCGGAGGAAGGCGGGGACGACGUCAGAUCAUCAUGCCCCUUAUGACCUGGGCUACACACGUGCUACAAUGGCGUAUACAACGAGUUGCCAACCUGUGAAGGUGAGCUAAUCUCUUAAAGUACGUCUCAGUUCGGACUGCAGUCUGCAACUCGACUGCACGAAGUCGGAAUCGCUAGUAAUCGCGGAUCAGCACGCCGCGGUGAAUACGUUCCCGGGUCUUGCACUCACCGCCCGUCA